This 429-nucleotide ribosomal RNA is filed under the name Gemmatimonadota bacterium. Its description in RNAcentral is "Gemmatimonadetes bacterium partial 16S ribosomal RNA". It matches the Rfam family "Bacterial small subunit ribosomal RNA", at positions 355 to 776 of the family's 1533-position model. Lineage: Bacteria; Pseudomonadati; Gemmatimonadota. The record is from RNAcentral.
UAGGGAAUCUUCGGCAAUGGACGAAAGUCUGACCGAGCAACGCCGCGUGAGUGAAGAAGGUUUUCGGAUCGUAAAACUCUGUUGUUAGAGAAGAACAAGGACGUUAGUAACUGAACGUCCCCUGACGGUAUCUAAACAGAAAGCCACGGCUAACUACGUGCCAGCAGCCGCGGUAAUACGUAGGUGGCAAGCGUUGUCCGGAUUUAUUGGGCGUAAAGCGAGCGCAGGCGGUUUCUUAAGUCUGAUGUGAAAGCCCCCGGCUCAACCGGGGAGGGUCAUUGGAAACUGGGAGACUUGAGUGCAGAAGAGGAGAGUGGAAUUCCAUGUGUAGCGGUGAAAUGCGUAGAUAUAUGGAGGAACACCAGUGGCGAAGGCGGCUCUCUGGUCUGUAACUGACGCUGAGGCUCGAAAGCGUGGGGAGCAAACAGG